UACAGAGGGUGCAAGCGUUAAUCGGAAUUACUGGGCGUAAAGGGCUCGUAGGCGGCCAACUAAGUCAGACGUGAAAUCCCUCGGCUUAACCGGGGAACUGCGUCUGAUACUGGAUGGCCCGAGUUUGGGAGAGGGAUGCGGAAUUCCAGGUGUAGCGGUGAAAUGCGUAGAGAUGUGGAGGAACACCAGUGGCGAAGGCGGCUUUUUGGUCUGUAACUGACGCUGAGGCAUGAAAGCGUGGGGAGCAAACAGG
RNAcentral lists this ribosomal RNA (253 nucleotides) under uncultured bacterium. RNAcentral describes it as "partial 16S ribosomal RNA". It matches the Rfam family "Bacterial small subunit ribosomal RNA", at positions 524 to 776 of the family's 1533-position model. The record is from RNAcentral.